AUUGAACGCUGGCGGCAGGCCUAACACAUGCAAGUCGAACGAGUGGCGGACGGGUGAGUAAUGUCUGGUAAACUGCCCGAUGGAGGGGGGUAACUACUGGAAACGGUAUCUAAUACCGCAUACCCUCGGAUGAGCCCAGAUGGGAUUAGCUGGUGGGUGGGGUAACGGCUCACCUAGGCGACGAUCCCUAGCUGGUCGGAGAGGAUGACCGGCAACAUUGGACCUGGGACAGGGUCCAGACUCCUACGGGAGGAACCAGUGGGGAAUAUUGCACAAUGGGCGCAAGCCUGAUGCAGCCAUGCCGGGUGGAGGAAGCAGGCCUCCGGGUUGUAAAGUACUUUCAGCGAGGAGGCGUUACCCGCAGAAGAAGCACCGGCUAACUCCGUGCCAGCAGCCGCGGUAAUAC
Molecule: ribosomal RNA, 406 nt
Filed under: uncultured bacterium
Lineage: Bacteria
Description: partial 16S ribosomal RNA
Rfam family: Bacterial small subunit ribosomal RNA
Source: RNAcentral